CACGUCCGCGAGGCUCCCGGGCCAGCCGGCGUCUGUGGGGAACUGGGGCGCUGGUCGGUGCGCGGGCUGGGACGCUAAGUCAUGAGGAAUUAAACUGGGAAACCUGGCGUGGGUCCAGGCGCCUUCCAGGAGGCAUCCGGCGCGGCCCGGACGUGCUUCUACCCAGAACCACCCCCUCCAGGCCGGGGUGCACUAAACGGGGCUAUACAAAGAGUCUGGUGGGUGACUGUGGGCCUCAUCCCUAUCCCGGGGUCUGAUAGGGAAGACUCUCGGGCCCCGCAGGGAAUAUCUGGCUAGUGCACCCUCGGCGGGCGCGCCACUCUCCCUCCUUGGGCGGCGCCCCCCCCUCUCAUCCCGCCCAAUCCGUUUUGCAAAGUCGGCCAAAACAAAAACAAACUUGGAGCGCUGAUAGACACUGUUAUUGCCCAUCUGAACUCGUCAACUGAGAAGGAAUGAGAUGGUUUACGCUGUGAAUAAAAUACAGUUGUGCUGUGAUGUUAAAUCCCCUCAUCUGGAGCAGCUGAGCAAGGUCUAAGGCAGGAAGAACCUUCAAGCAGGUCAUGGCUUGCAGGCUCAACUCUGCCUGGCAGUGGCAAGGGCCAGGGCCAGUGACUGAAGCAACAAACUGCCAGAUGACUGCAGCUCAAGCCAAUGCACAAAGCCACUGCACCAAGAGAGGAAAUUCUUCCAUUUCCAAGUGUGUCGAUUUCUCCCCAUCAAGGAAAACAGCUAAGGCAAUGUGUUGAUAUUUUCUUUGACCAAGUCAUCAGGAGUCACAUAGACAUACAGCACUCAAGAAGUGGCUGUGACUAAAGGCAUAUCUCAUUCAUCUACAACCCUUGUAAUCCCAACCUUUGUCUGAUGCACAAACCCUUCCCUAGUUCUCCCCACCACCACCACUGCACCUCCAAGUGGGGACAACGAAUUGUUUCAUUUGCAUGUGGUUUUUCUCAUCAAAAAUAUCAUUAACAUGAGACAGCCCCAAACCAAGGAAACCAGAAGUGGGGUUUGUGCUUGGUCUUACUGAGAGCUUUCCCUACUUGACCAGACCCCAGCAUUGUUCUAGAUUUGUCUCUUGUGGGCUACAGGAAUGCAAACAUUUUGUAGUUUCCUCUUUUUUGUUUUCUUAAUGGCUUGAUGAGCCAUGCAUUUCUCUAAAUGCACUGAUUUAAAUUCACACAAUUUCUGCCAACUAAACUUAAUGCAUUUUCCUCCUCUUCUAAUCAAUAAGGGCUAUCAGAAUGUUUUGGGUGAAGAUGAGCGGAAGGUAAGAAAUUACAUACUGUGGGCCAGGUGUGGUGACUCACAUCUGUAACCCCAGCACUUUGAGGGGCCAAGGCAUGCAGAUCGCUUGAGGCCAGGAGUUCAAGACCAGCCUGGCCAACAUGGCGAAAUCCUAUCUGUACUAAAAAUACAAAAAUUACCCAGGCGUGAUGGCACAUGCCUGUAGUCCCAGCCACUCAGGAGGCUAAGGCAAGAGAAUCACUUGAACCCAGGAAGUGGAGUUUGCAGUGAGCUGAGAUCACGCCACUGGACUCCAGCCUGGACAACAGAGUGAGACUCUGUCUCAAAAAAAAAAAAAAAUUACAUACUGUCGAGUAUGACCUAAAAACAUAGAGCGACUAUAUUUCAAUAGUAUGACAGGAUUAUGUUAGCUGCUAAUAACAGAACCCAAAAUAACAAUAGAUUAAAUAAAAGAUUAGUAUCCCAGGUAAAAGUCUAGAGGUAGGAAUUCUAGGACUAAGUGAAGGUUCUGCUCAGUGAAGUCCUCAGGGACACAGGCACCUUCAGCUCAUAACUCUAUCAUCCCUGGAGGGUACUUAAGGGUCCAGGAUGGCAGCCAAAAGUCGUACCUACGUUUUAAACAGCAGGGUGCUGGAAGACAUAAAGAAAAAGCCAGAGGCACACGCCUGUUCUCACUUAAGGAAAAUUCCUGGAAACUGCCACAAUACACCUUCGCUUACAUCCCAUUGAUCAAAACGUGGAUGCAAAGCCACACCUUACUGUGGGGUACAGGGAAAAAAAAUUUUUUUGAGAAUCAUGAGUUCAUUAACAGAAUUCAGGGAUCUCUUAAUACAGAAGCAAGGGAGAACAGCUGUUGGGGGACCACCAGAAGUCUCUGCUCUAAAGAACAAUGUAAAUACCUGGUGGUAGACUAACACUGAUGGCCUACAAUGAAUCACACCUACUGACAUUCAUGCCUUUGUGCAGAGUUCCACAUUGAUGCUGGGCUUGGCCUUGUGACUUGUUUGGCCAAUAGGAUCUCAGCAAGCACCUUGAUAAGUGCUUGUGCAUUAGGGCUUGCUGUCCUGAAAUCCAGGUGACAUGUAAGAAGUGUGGGUUAGUCCCUAUGAAGAUGACAGACCACAUGGAGAAAGAGGCUGAGCCUAUACCCACCCACCUACCAGAGAAGAUCAGCAGAAGAACCAGUGAAUCAUUAUUGCUUUAGUCAUUAAUUUGGGGGCAAUUUGUUAUACAGCGAUAGAUAAGUGGUACAGUACAUAGACAAAUUUCUGCAGUUCAUCGAGCAUUAGCACCAAAUAAGUAUACAACAGUGUUUGGAGCACUAAAGAGAGUAUAAAAUAUUGCUUAAAAUUGUUUCCUUGGCCUCAUGAAACAGAAAUCGGCUCUGAUUAGCAACCAAAAAAUGAGAAUUUAUUGGAAGAACACUAAAUAGAAUUAAAGAAAUGCCGAAAACCAAGAUUCAAGAAGGGCAGUGUGUUAGACAUAUCAAGCAGUGUAUAUGUCACCUAUAAGCCAAACAGCCUGGCCUAACUCCAGGGUCAUUGACCACUUGUUUUCCCCAACUGCCACCAUAGCAACCAACUGUAUGGGCCCUGCCCAGAGACUACUGAAGCAACAGACUUUACAUGGGCACAUCCCAAUGGUUCCCCUCCCUUUCCCCAAGCCACACACAUCUCACCUCCCACCCCAAGAGGGCUGAGAUAGUGCCUAACUGUUGGGCUUCUAACAAAGUGUAGCCGUAAGUGCAGUGGAGUUAAUGUCCUUGAGGUAAAUCUAAUCAAAACAAGAUGGGUCCAGCAUAUAAACUCCUCUCCUUCCUCCACCCAGACAGAUUGUCCUGAAACACAGUAGUCCAUACUACCUCUCAAAAUAUGACCCUCAUGAUACUGACCAAUCACCCAGGCUUGAUACCAAGAGGUAGCUAGUUCAGUAAUACACUAUUUUAUUAUUAAUAGUUUCUCUUCCUUCUUUGCCCAGCCCGUUCGUCUUCACUCCAGUUUCCCUCAAACUACACUCAGGCGCUGUUUUCUACAGAACCCAGGCUAAAAGACUUGGCACCAGGAGUGUCCUGCAGACACUCAGGAUGGAAUGCUGGAGUUGGGUUACUUUCCGACCGUGUGGCAAUAAAGACCCAUGGCACGGCAGCCUCUAGGAGCUGAGGGCGCCCUCCAGCUGACAUCCAGAAAGAAAUUGAAGCCCUAGGUUGUGAAACCACAAGGACGUGAAUUCUGCCAACACAUAAUGUGAGUUUGAAAGCAGAUUCUUCCCCAGUUGAACUACCAUCUGAAAAUCCAGUUUGGGCUAACAACUUGAUUGCAGCCUUUCAAAAAAGAAUCAGCUAAGCUGUAUCCAGACUUCUGACCAUAAAAACUGUGAGAUAGUAUAUCUGUGUUGCUUAAGCUGUUUAUUUUGCAGCAAUAUUUAAGUUGUUGCUGUUAAGUUACAUAGCAAUAGAUAAAUAUAAAAUAGUACAACCACUCUGGAAAAUAGUUUGACAUUUUCUUAUUGCAUUAAACAUACACUAACCAAAUGACCCAGCAAUUCCACACCCUAAAGAAGUGGAAAACAUAGGUCCCUCCCAAAAACGUAUACCUAUGUUAUAAAUACCUCGUUAUUUAUAACAACUUCAUUUGUAAUAGCUAAAAAUCAGGAAAAAAAAAGUCCAUCAAUACAAAAAAGGAUAAAGAAAUUAUAGUAUAUUAUACAGUACAAUGGAUGCAACUCAGCCAUAAAAUGGAAUGAACUUUUGAUAUAAACACAACAUGAAUGAAUCUCAAAAACAUUAUGCUAAGCUAAGGAAGCUGGACACAAAAUAGUAUGAACUGUAUGAUUUCACUUUUAUGAAAUUUUGAUACAGGCAAACAUAAUCUAUUGUGAAAGAAAUUGGACCAGUGGAUGCUCUGGGGAUUGAGGGCAAGCAUUGACUUGGAAAGGGAAUGGGAUAACUUCUUGCAGUGAUGGACAUGUUCUGUGUCUUGAGGUGUAGGUCACGGAGGUAUAUGCAUUCGUCAAAACUUUGGAGCUUAAGAUCUGUGUUUGUUAUUAUUUGUAAAUUAUACUUGGAUUUUCAAAAAAAAAUUUUAGUAAGCAAAGAACAAGGGAACUAUCUGUUUGCUAAAGGAUGGUAGCAUGUCUCAGCCAAAUUACCCCCAAGACACUUGCAAAAAUAAAGAGACUAACUGAUGCCCUGUGGAGUCUGAAAGAACAUAAGGCUCUGGGAAAAAAAAGACACCUGUGAUUGGUUGAUCUCAGUUGAUCUUUUUUGCUUUGAGCUUCAUUGACUCAAUCCACCCAAAGAAAAUCAUCCCUUCAAUGAAAGCCAUGAACUCCAUAUCCCAUAUUUAAUCAAUACGUAGUCAGAAAAUAAGCUAUACACAACCAAAGCUGCUCAAACAAGUUUCAAUGAUAACUUGAUCAUCCUUACCAUGUAGCUACUUCAAACAUGAUUUGCUUUUCACCAAUUAUAGAUAUUACCUAAUUCAAAGUAAUAUUUGUUGUGGUACUCUAGUGUAAGCAAAGUACAGAGAAUAAAUAACCAAAAGACCUAUGAGCUCAAAACUGUCAGGGACAUCAAAAACGAGAAAAGUCUGAGACACUAUCAGAGUUCCAGGAGCUUAAGGAGAAAAGACGACUAAAUAUAAUGGGGUAUCCUCGAUGGAAUCUUGGAACAGGAAAGGAUAUUAGGUAAAAACUAAGGAAAUCUGAAUAAAGUAUGGACUUUAGCUAAUAAUAAUGUUUCAGUGUUGGUUCCUUACUUGUAACAAAUGUACCAUACUAACUUAAGAUGUGAAUAAUAGGAGAAACUAUGUGCAGGGCCAGAGGUGGGAAGGUAUGGGAACUGUACCAUUUUAUCUACUUCUCUGUUAAUGAAAAACUGCUCACAGCUAGGUGGGAGGAAUAAGUUCUAGUGUUCUAUACCACCAUAGGAUGACUAUAAUUAACAAUACUAUAUCAUACAGUUUCAAAUAGCUAGAAGGAGGGUAUUGGAAAUUCCCCACAGAAAAAAUGAUAAAUAUUUGAGAUGACAGAUAUGCUAUUAAUAAUUAUCCUGAGCUGAUCACAUUAUAUAUAGAAACACUGCUGUGUAUCCAUACAUAUGUACGAUUAUUAUGUGUCAAUUAUAGAAAAGAAAUGCAAAGUUCUUGUUCCAUCCACCACUCACAGGAAGAUAAUCAUUACUCACGUUAGUGCUUUAGUUUGGACUUUGCUAUGGCUUGAAUAUGGUUUGUCCACACCAAAAAGCAAACCAUCAAACAAAAAAAUUGCUCUAAAAUUAAAAUUUGUUUUUUUAAAAACCAAAACCUAUGAGAGCAAAUCUUUAUGUAAUUUAUUAGGAAGAUCUGGGAGACAAGCACUGCAAGGGCAUGCUCUGGGAAAUUUAUCACAUACAAAUACUAAGAGAGGACAGGAUUAAAAUAUGAGGUCAGAAGAAAAAACUCAACACCCCAGGAACAGAAUCAGUGCUUUUUCCUCCAAAUAGUUAUUUUGAAUGUAAUCAGCAUCAACCAGCCUCUCUUCUGUCAGCUCUUAUUAUUUCUAUUUUAUCCCCUGCCAAUCUGGAUGUGGGACAAGUGCAAGUUCCUCCAAAGAAACUACUGGUGUAAAAGUAUAAAUGGGAAACGUAGUUGUUUUUGAUGAUUUUGUAGGAAAAAUGGAGAAGACAUUUAUGUUGAACAUGGAAAACAUGUUUUAAAUCUCUUUAUAUUGGAGAUUAGUAAGGAUAUUAUUUGGAUGAUAGGAGAAAUUUGAAUAUGGACUGAAUAUUAGAUAUUGUAUUGUAUCAAGUUUAAGUUUCUGAGUGGAAUAAUUAUGUUGUGGUCAUGUAAGAGAACGGCCUUGUUCUUAGGAGACACAUGCUGAAGUAUUUGGUGGUGAAGUGUCAUGAUGCUUACAACCAAUUCUCAAACAGUUCAGAAAAUUAUACACAUGUGCACAUUUGCCUCUUUAUCUAUUUAUCUGCCUAUCUAUACACAAAAUGUGUAUACACAAAUAUUUAUUAAAAUAUAUACCUUC
Molecule: long non-coding RNA, 6258 nt
Organism: Gorilla gorilla gorilla (western lowland gorilla)
Lineage: Eukaryota; Metazoa; Chordata; Mammalia; Primates; Hominidae
Exons: 4
Source: RefSeq, a predicted model, not a curated record